This is a non-coding RNA of Megalobrama amblycephala (Wuchang bream), 1193 nucleotides long. Lineage: Eukaryota; Metazoa; Chordata; Actinopteri; Cypriniformes; Xenocyprididae. The record is from the annotation of a RefSeq genome assembly.
AGGCUUUUUCACAGUUUUUCUCCAAUUAGUGAAAUACUGAAAAAUAAUAUAAGAGCAAAUAAAAAAAAGUUACAAUGUUACAAACAACUUUAGUAUUAAUAAUUUGUUAUUACUAUUAUUUUUAGGGUUAGGGUUAAAAUGACAAGAUUUGUGCAAUAUGAAGGCUAAACAGUCUCAUGUAAUGUCUGUUUCAUUUACACAGGACACCCUCGCUCAGAAAGUCCACAAGUGAGACUCACAGGAGUAGUAAAGCUUAUGACGUUUCAGGAAAUCCCUUUUAUGAACAAAGGCAUCCAAAUAUCGCUUUAGCCCAGAUAGAGAUGUUUCUGUCAUUCAUAUGAAGCCACAUCGGAUCAGAGAAACACUUGACUGAUGUUAUAUAGUGAGUUUGAUGUGUUUUGAUAUGUUAUUAAUCUCAUCAAUUGUCAUGUUUUGACGCUAUGCUAAACUGACAUUCAUCUUUGUCAUUAUAAUCUGAAUGAAGGUGGAGCUCUAGAAAACCUUCAAGUCACAGUUCAGUUGUUUAAAACAGGGCAGACAUAUCUUGAGUCACUUAUACUCUAGUAGAGAACUGUAAGUCUCGACUCUCAAGGUCAUUGACUCUUCCUAGUGCAGAUGUUGCUCCUGGUAUUCAUGAUAUGUUCUCUUCUAAAAGAGAAUGCUGCUGCAGACGUGAUAACACCAUUAUUCACAGACAAGCAUGUUUUGGAAGGAAAAGAUGUUACACUCAAAUGCAAUUACACUGGCAAUGUUAGAAAUUUGCAGUGGUACCGUCAGUAUCCCGGAUCCAAACCUGAACACCUAAUAUUGUUCAUUGAGACCGAACCCAAAUCAAAGUCCUCUCUCCGUCUGACCGCUGCAGCUGAUAAAGCCAACAAACAAAUGAAUCUGACGAUCUCUUCUACAGAAGUGAAAGACUCAGCCAUGUACUACUGUGCCCUGGUGCCCACAGUGACAGGAAACACUACUGCACCCUACAAAAACUCAGUGAGAAAUUAUAUUUAAAGCAGAAGAUCAUGAUGCACAAUGCAGAUUUAAAAACUUCAAAACUUUUUUUGUACAAUGUACAGUGACACUGUACAAACAUCAAAUGUUUCAAGCAUUAAUGUGCUGUUCAAAUCUAUAUUAUGAGGUAGUCUAAUAUUAUUAUUAAUAGAGAAUCAGGGCACACUAUAAGUUGUAAAUGCUUUUAA